RNAcentral lists this ribosomal RNA (447 nucleotides) under uncultured organism. Its description in RNAcentral is "partial 16S ribosomal RNA". It matches the Rfam family "Bacterial small subunit ribosomal RNA", at positions 333 to 797 of the family's 1533-position model. The record is from RNAcentral.
ACACUCCUGCGGGAGGCAGCAGUGGGGAAUAUUGGACAAUGGGCGCAAGCCUGAUCCAGCCAUGCCGCGUGAGUGAUGAAGGCCCUAGGGUUGUAAAGCUCUUUCACCGGUGAAGAUAAUGACGGUAACCGGAGAAGAAGCCCCGGCUAACUUCGUGCCAGCAGCCGCGGUAAUACGAAGGGGGCUAGCGUUGUUCGGAUUUACUGGGCGUAAAGCGCACGUAGGCGGACUAUUAAGUCAGGGGUGAAAUCCCGGGGCUCAACCCCGGAACUGCCUUUGAUACUGGUAGUCUUGAGUUCGAGAGAGGUGAGUGGAAUUCCGGGUGUAGAGGUGAAAUUCGUAGAUAUUCGGAGGAACACCAGUGGCGAAGGCGGCUCACUGGCUCGAUACUGACGCUGAGGUGCGAAAGCGUGGGGAGCAAACAGGAUUAGAUACCCUAGUAGUCCC